GUAAAAUGAUGAUUUUCUAGUAUCCAAGAAUCAAUUAAAAAUUUUCUGGAAUUUCAUUGGAAUUAAUGAAAUGAGUUUCUGAUUUACGUAUAUUCACUUAACAGUUUUUGAACUCCCAAUGACCUUCAUAAAUCAAAAAGUACCUGUACUAGAGGAUCUCAGACUUAUUAUGGGGGUUAUAUUCAGAAAGUUUGACCUCAUCUCUAAUCAGAUAUAACUCAAAACAUGAUUUUCCAUAGGCACAAUAUUACAAAUAGAAAUUACAUUCCUCAACUACCAGAAAUCAGAAUAUUUUAUUAUUUUAACUAUUGAAUACAAUAAUGAUGAAUAAAUACUGUUUAUUCUUUAAAAUGAGGAAAAUGUUUAUCUUGUGUCUAACAGCAUUGUAUGUAGGUGUAAAUAUAAAGAAAAAAUCAUGUAAAAAUGAAGAUGAAAUGUUUCUUUUUGUGUGUCCAAGUUUUAGCUGGAUGGCCACGUGGCAAAGCAGUCAUUUAAUACUGAAUCCACGUAUCCAAUUUUCAGAGGCGUUCAGACCUUAAUAAACCUAUUGAACUUUCUGAUUGAUCCCAUUGUGGAUGCCUAUGGAAUAGUGGUAGUUUCUAAUAGUGGUUGUUGCCAAAUUUAUCCCAUGUGAUUCAGUGGCUUAAUUCAAACUAAUCUGAACAAAUUUCUAGUAAAAAUAAACAGUUAUUUUUUUAUUGCCACUUUGUAAUUAUUGGCUAAUUACAACAUAAUGAAACAGGCCAACUACAAAUUGCCUAUAUCUUUAGUAGCCACCAGCAGGACUUUAUCAUAAAUGAAUUGACACAGUACUGGAUUCAUCAAAAAAUUUUCUUUGGCAUGAAAUUUGAAUUCUAUCUUCACUAGGCCUGGGAUUGAAUUUGGAUAAGUGAAUUAAUUUACUAUGUGUGAUUGCAGACAGUUAUUAUGCU
This 932-nucleotide long non-coding RNA is filed under the name Androctonus crassicauda. The record is from RNAcentral. Lineage: Eukaryota; Metazoa; Arthropoda; Arachnida; Scorpiones; Buthidae.